CCUACGGGAGGCAGCAGUGGGGAAUAUUGGGCAAUGGAGGAAACUCUGACCCAGCAACGCCGCGUGAAUGAUGAAGGUCUUCGGAUUGUAAAGUUCUUUUCUAAGGGAAGAAGAAAGUGACGGUACCUUAGGAAUAAGCCUCGGCUAACUACGUGCCAGCAGCCGCGGUAAUACGUAGGAGGCGAGCGUUAUCCGGAAGGACUGGGCGUAAAGGGGGCGUAGGUGGUUUGGCAAGUUAGUAGCGUAACUCCAAGGCUCAACCUUGGAACUACUACUAAAACUGUUGGACUUGAGUGCAGGAGGGGCAACCGGAAUGCCUAGUGUAGCGGUGGAAUGCGUAGAUAGUAGGAGGAACACCAGUGGCGAAGGCGGGUUGCUAGACUGUAACUGACACUGAGGCACGAAAGCGUGGGGAGCAAACAGGAUUAGAUACCCCAGUAGUC
This 443-nucleotide ribosomal RNA is filed under the name uncultured bacterium. RNAcentral's name for it is "partial 16S ribosomal RNA". It matches the Rfam family "Bacterial small subunit ribosomal RNA", at positions 338 to 795 of the family's 1533-position model. The record is from RNAcentral.